This 1500-nucleotide ribosomal RNA is filed under the name Vaginimicrobium propionicum. RNAcentral's name for it is "bacterial SSU rRNA". It matches the Rfam family "Bacterial small subunit ribosomal RNA". Lineage: Bacteria; Bacillati; Actinomycetota; Actinomycetes; Propionibacteriales; Propionibacteriaceae. The record is from RNAcentral.
AGAGUUUGAUCCUGGCUCAGGGCGAACGCUGGCGGCGUGCUUAACACAUGCAAGUUGAACGGUAAGGCUCCUUCGGGGGUACACGAGUGGCGAACGGGUGAGUAACGCGUGAGUAACCUGCCCUUCACUUUGGGAUAACAGUUGGAAACGACUGCUAAUACUGAAUGUUCUGGUCCUGCGGCAUCGUGGGGUUUGGAAAGUUUCGGCGGUGGGGGAUGGGCUCGCGUCCUAUUAGUUUGUUGGUGGGGUGAUGGCCUACCAAGGCGUUGACGGGUAGCCGGCCUGAGAGGGUGACCGGCCACAUUGGGACUGAGAUACGGCCCAGACUCUUACGGGAGGCAGCAGUGGGGAAUAUUGCACAAUGGACGGAAGUCUGAUGCAGCAACGCCGCGUGCGGGAUGACGGCCUUCGGGUUGUAAACCGCUUUUUCUCAUGACGAAGUUUUUUGACGGUAGUGGGGGAAGAAGCACCGGCUAACUACGUGCCAGCAGCCGCGGUGAUACGUAGGGUGCGAGCGUUGUCCGGAAUUAUUGGGCGUAAAGAGCUUGUAGGCGGUUUGUCGCGUCGAUAGUGCAAACUCAGUGCUUAACGCUGAGCCUGCUGUUGAUACGGGCAGACUAGAGGAAGGUAGGGGAGAAUGGAAUUCCCGGUGGAGCGGUGGAAUGCGCAGAUAUCGGGAGGAACACCGGUGGCGAAGGCGGUUCUCUGGGCCUUUCCUGACGCUGAGAAGCGAAAGCGUGGGGAGCGAACAGGCUUAGAUACCCUGGUAGUCCACGCUGUAAACGGUGGGUACUAGGUGUGGGGUCUGUUUUGGGUCCUGUGCCGUAGCUAACGCUUUAAGUACCCCGCCUGGGGAGUACGGCCGCAAGGCUAAAACUCAAAGGAAUUGACGGGGCCCCGCACAAGCGGCGGAGCAUGCGGAUUAAUUCGAGGCAACGCGAAGAACCUUACCUGGGUUUGAAAUAUAUCGGAAGCCCCUAGAGAUGGGGGUGCCUUUUUGGCCGGUAUACAGGUGGUGCAUGGCUGUCGUCAGCUCGUGUCGUGAGAUGUUGGGUUAAGUCCCGCAACGAGCGCAACCCUUGUCCAAUGUUGCCAGCAAGUUAUGUUGGGGACUCGUUGGAGACCGCCGGGGUCAACUCGGAGGAAGGUGGGGAUGACGUCAAGUCAUCAUGCCCCUUAUGUCCAGGGCUUCACGCAUGCUACAAUGGCCGGUACAAACAGUUGCGAGCCUGUGAGGGUGAGCGAAUCUGAGAAAGCCGGUCUCAGUUCGGAUUGGGGUCUGCAACUCGACCUCAUGAAGUCGGAGUCGCUAGUAAUCGCAGAUCAGCAACGCUGCGGUGAAUACGUUCCCGGGGCUUGUACACACCGCCCGUCAAGUCAUGAAAGUUGGCAACACCCGAAGCCGGUGGCCUAACCAUUUUUUUGGGGGGAGCUGUCGAAGGUGGGGCUGGUGAUUAGGACUAAGUCGUAACAAGGUAGCCGUACCGGAAGGUGCGGCUG